CUCCUUUGACGUUAGCGGCGGACGGGUGAGUAACACGUGGGUAACCUACCUAUAAGACUGGGAUAACUUCGGGAAACCGGAGCUAAUACCGGAUAAUAUUUGAACCGCAUGGUUCGAUAGUGAAAGGUGGUUUUGCUAUCACUUAUAGAUGGACCCGCGCCGUAUUAGCUAGUUGGUAAGGUAACGGCUUACCAAGGCGACGAUACGUAGCCGACCUGAGAGGGUGAUCGGCCACACUGGAACUGAGACACGGUCCAGACUCCUACGGGAGGCAGCAGGG
Molecule: ribosomal RNA, 280 nt
Filed under: uncultured Staphylococcus sp.
Lineage: Bacteria; Bacillati; Bacillota; Bacilli; Caryophanales; Staphylococcaceae
Description: partial 16S ribosomal RNA
Rfam family: Bacterial small subunit ribosomal RNA
Source: RNAcentral